RNAcentral lists this long non-coding RNA (862 nucleotides) under Citrus sinensis (sweet orange). RNAcentral describes it as "long non-coding RNA (CSIN_LNC004279)". The record is from RNAcentral. Lineage: Eukaryota; Viridiplantae; Streptophyta; Magnoliopsida; Sapindales; Rutaceae.
AGGUUCAAGCACCUCAUCAAACUUCCCAAAGGUUUCCCUGAUGGCCACAGUUGACUGAUCCACCUGAAUACAACCUAAAGCUUGUCCCAUUUUCUGAUUAUACCUAAUUCAGAACAGCUACGAAAAUCAAUGAUAAUCUAUUGACCAAUUAAAGGAAGCAAAAGCAAUAGAAAUUCAACGAAUUGGCCCAUGUAAGAACUAGAAUAGAGGGCCUUCUUGAAAAAGCUGUCACUAUCUGUCAAAUGCAUCCAGAACAUCACAAAUCCAGUUAAACACAAACUAUCGUAUGUCAGAAUAGCAUUGAGAUGGUAUAAUGGAAACUUGAAAGCUGUGAAUUAUAUCUGUAACCUAUUAAGCAGUCAAACAAAAACGUAAAAAGCAACAUUAGAACAAAAACACACAUAAUUUUUGUCCUAAAUUUUAUGACCAUGAAAUCAAAUUCAUGUGAUCAUGCAAUUUCCUUACCAAGCAUUUCUUUCUCUUUCAGACAUUGAAACAAAGGCUUGUCUAUCAUAAAACAAUCUAAAGCUUUAUAGCCAAAGCAAUACUAAAUAAAAUUCACUACGUACUAGAAAUAAAUAAAAAAAGAGGGGCUAACAGACAGAAAUUGACACAGUUCUUCACAGCAGAUUGGAAAAAGCAGCUUCAAAGCAAGCUUCUCUAUACGAGAUGUCUGUAAAUGGAAUAUUACAAGAAGUGAUUAAACCGGUCCCUGUAUAAAAUCUCAAUUACAUCAGAGAGGCUAUCCCAAAUAAUACCUACCUCCUAUCAACUACCCAUGUAAUAGCCUAGCAAUAUAGUUGGCUUUAAAAUUGUUUCUUCUUCUACAAGAAAAUUCGCUGAAAAUUUCAAAACCAUUGAC